RNAcentral lists this unclassified non-coding RNA (1661 nucleotides) under Exaiptasia diaphana. RNAcentral describes it as "uncharacterized LOC110249301, transcript variant X1". Lineage: Eukaryota; Metazoa; Cnidaria; Anthozoa; Actiniaria; Aiptasiidae. The record is from RNAcentral.
UCUGUCUUUUGCUUGCCUCAAAACCUAGUGAAGGUGUGUGAUGCGAUAUAAAAUUGAGACCUUUGCUAGUGUUGGGCUGUCUCAAUGGUGACGACCGUGUUGUAAAUCUGAUACAUCACUAGUAUCAGUCACCUGACCAAAUAGAUAGUUCUUAUUGGAGAAAAGUUCAUGAAUUAUUAAUGAGGUUCCUUAUGGCAAUUACCUGGAGCACAUUAGUAGUAAUGCAUUUCGUUUUUUGAAUCCUGUUUGCAGUCUUACAGCGGCUUUUGGAAUAGCGGUGUUGUGUUUCAAGCUAUCUCAUGUUAUGGUGUCAGCGUCGCCAUAUGUGAUGAAUCUUGUGACAUCCUUUUUGAAGUAUUGUAUUUUUGAAGUUGCUAUUCGAUAGUCGUGAAAAUAUUUUGAAUGUAUUUGUAUUCCAUUUUCCUGUGCUAAAUUAUUGGACAAUUCUAAAACACUGAGUCUAAUUUGCGUCGACUUGAUUCAAGUGUCUGUUUACUCGUAUUACAUUCCUUGGAUGCCUGGNNCUCUACUUCCUUGUCNAAGAAGGGUCAGACAAGAUCGAUUUCACUUUGGAUGCGAAGGAGUAUAUGCAUGGACAAAGAUGUUUUGGCUUUUGAUAUGUAUUUUACUGAGCUUUGGCACCGUAACAAUCGAAGGAUGUGGCAAAGAUCUAACUGGAGAAAGCGGUCAGUCCUCAUUUGAUCCAUCUUCUUGCGUUUAUUGGAAGUCAAACUACACGUUGACGAUNGGNAAAGGCUUAAAGAACAUCAGUUUCAUUGUCAUCAAAUUCGAGCCGUUUAAUCUAGGAUGCACGUAACUCAAUGAAGUCAUUUUAAACUUGUCAAGAGCUUAACCGUUGACAUGGCUUCUCAAUUGACAAUUAACGUGGAAUCGAUAGAUGAAACAUUCGAAACUAAUACUNCCGUUUUUUACUCAAUCUGUGCUUUGGGAACUACAUACAUGCCUCUAUUUAAGUUUGCUCAAGUUUGCUCAAGUUGAAAAUUUUCCGCUUUUGGACAAUCUGAACCUUCGUUCCUCGUCUUCAACAGCCAUUUGAUUUCAAAUUCUGGUUAUCAGUAAUAAUUAUGCUGCGGAUUACGUUGAAGUUUCUGAUGCAAAUUACGAGUUUAAAAUAAAAAAAUGUCGUGGAAUGCGCCCAUUUGAAGUUUUGAUCAAGGAUCGUCCAGCAGUAAUCAGAUACCACUCUGAUAAAGGCUACUGGUACAGGUUUUCUGGAGUUAGUGUCACCUUCUACAUCAUCACUCAGAAAUUGUCAGAUUCAACUGUAAAUAGAUGGGAUCCAGCUAUUAAACAAUCCAAACCUGGUGAAGUUACCAUUGAUUGGGAUCACUCGACGCUGCCAUCAAAGAACUAUACUGUUGUGCCGUUUUAUAACUAUACAACGAAAGGGGAGCCAUUUCUGUACAUCAUUGAACAUAGAAAGGAAACGUCAAUGGUAACGCAACACCUCAAUCCAGGUUCUUCGUAUUCCUUUAAAGUCAUUGCUUUUAAUUCUGUGAACAUGAGAGCCGCCUUAGUCGUAAGCAGUACAACAACUGUCUUAAUGAGGAAUGGUACGUAAUGAUGUUUAUCAAGUUUCAGUGUAAAUUAAGGAAAUUGCUAGAAGAUAUUGGAUGGGCGGCCGGAGAUAUGGAUUUUUC